GUGAGGAAUAUUGGUCAAUGGGCGCAAGCCUGAACCAGCCAUGCCGCGUGCAGGAAGACGGUCCUAUGGAUUGUAAACUGCUUUUAUUUGGGAAUAAACUCCGGUACGUGUACCGGCCUGAAGGUACCAAAUGAAUAAGCACCGGCUAACUCCGUGCCAGCAGCCGCGGUAAUACGGAGGGUGCAAGCGUUAUCCGGAAUCAUUGGGUUUAAAGGGUCCGCAGGCGGUCUUAUAAGUCAGUGGUGAGAGCCUACAGCUCAACUGUAGAACUGCCAUUGAUACUGUAGGACUUGAAUUCGAUCGAAGUGGGCGGAAUGUGACAUGUAGCGGUGAAAUGCUUAGAUAUGUCACAGAACACCGAUAGCGAAGGCAGCUCACUAGGUCUGGAUUGACGCUCAGGGACGAAAGCGUGGGGAGCAAACAGGAUUAGAAACCCCGGUAGUCC
This 445-nucleotide ribosomal RNA is filed under the name uncultured bacterium. RNAcentral describes it as "partial 16S ribosomal RNA". It matches the Rfam family "Bacterial small subunit ribosomal RNA", at positions 354 to 796 of the family's 1533-position model. The record is from RNAcentral.